AAUACGGUGUGGGCUGUCGCGCAGCGUGUGUUUAGCGCGUUUCGAGGAAAGUCCGGGCAACGGAAACCACCAUACUUCCUAACGGGAAGGCACAUUCUUUUGAGUGUGACAGACAGUGCAGCAGAAAAUAUACCGCCUUUUUGUUUUGCAGAAAGGUAAGGGUGAAAAUGUGGGGUAAGAGCCCACACUUUUGUAUAGUGAUAUACAAACGAGGCAAACCUUAUGGGUUGAAAGAACAAAUAUACCGUCAGCGGAAAGCGUUUUGCUUUUCAAAGUUUAGGUUUCAGGCUUGGCGGGGGGUAGUUCGAUAGAGCGUAGCGGCAACGGUACGCCGAGAUAAAUGGCAGUCGCCUGUUUGCAGGUACAGGACCCGGCUUACAGCACCGUAUUUUUU
Molecule: RNase P RNA, 394 nt
Filed under: Bacteroidales bacterium
Lineage: Bacteria; Pseudomonadati; Bacteroidota; Bacteroidia; Bacteroidales
Description: RNase P RNA component class A
Rfam family: Bacterial RNase P class A
About the family: Ribonuclease P (RNase P) is a ubiquitous endoribonuclease, found in archaea, bacteria and eukarya as well as chloroplasts and mitochondria. Its best characterised activity is the generation of mature 5'-ends of tRNAs by cleaving the 5'-leader elements of precursor-tRNAs. Cellular RNase Ps are ribonucleoproteins.
Source: RNAcentral